RNAcentral lists this ribosomal RNA (471 nucleotides) under uncultured bacterium. Its description in RNAcentral is "partial 16S ribosomal RNA". It matches the Rfam family "Bacterial small subunit ribosomal RNA", at positions 28 to 507 of the family's 1533-position model. The record is from RNAcentral.
GACGAACGCUGGCGGCGUGCUUAACACAUGCAAGUCGAACGAUGAAGCCUAGCUUGCUAGGUGGAUUAGUGGCGAACGGGUGAGUAAUACGUGAGUAACCUACCUUUAACUCUGGGAUAAGCCUGGGAAACUGGGUCUAAUACUGGAUACGACCAAUCUCCGCAUGGGGUGUUGGUGGAAAGCGUUAUGUAGUGGUUAUAGAUGGGCUCACGGCCUAUCAGCUUGUUGGUGAGGUAACGGCUCACCAAGGCGACGACGGGUAGCCGGCCUGAGAGGGUGACCGGCCACACUGGGACUGAGACACGGCCCAGACUCCUACGGGAGGCAGCAGUGGGGAAUAUUGCACAAUGGGCGCAAGCCUGAUGCAGCGACGCCGCGUGAGGGAUGACGGCCUUCGGGUUGUAAACCUCUGUUAGCAGGGAAGAAGAGAAAUUGACGGUACCUGCAGAGAAAGCGCCGGCUAACUACGUG